GUGUUAUUUUAUAAUUGUAAGGACAAUGAGAUCAUUUUAUUCUUAUUUGAAUAGUUACUUUUAAGUUAUGUUUUAAUAGAGAGCUGCUUUUAUUUGAAACUCAAAUGAAUAGCCACUUUUAAGUUUAAACUUAAGUGGAUAGUUUUCUCUAGUUUAUUCUUAUAUAUAUAUAUUAGUAAAAAAAAUCAAAAUUGAUUCUAUUAAUUUUAUGAAUUGACCCCAUAUCUCAUGCAAUAUUUUAAAAAAUAAAAGAUAAAAAAGAUCAGAUCAAAAAAGUAAUUAUGACAUACAUUUUUUCUCUUUAAUAACUCAUAUAUUCUACUACUCUCUUCCUCUUCCUCUCUCACAUUAAUUUGACUUUCUCUCUCUUUCUCCUUCUUUCUCUUUCUUUAUUAAUUAAUUAAUUAUUUAUCUUUUAAUAUACUAUUUCAAUCUCAUCCAUUCACCUCUUAUAUUUAAGAAUACGCAUCCUUUACUGUGAUAGUACGCAUCAUCCAUUGCAUGAUGAACAGCUGCACGGGACCUCGCGGAGUCAUGCACUGUAGAUGCAUGCCCACGUAUGACCGCAUGUAGCCAUCCAUC
Molecule: long non-coding RNA, 582 nt
Filed under: Elaeis guineensis (African oil palm)
Lineage: Eukaryota; Viridiplantae; Streptophyta; Magnoliopsida; Arecales; Arecaceae
Description: long non-coding RNA (EGUI_LNC015776)
Source: RNAcentral